GUCGUAACAAGGUUUCCGUAGGUGAACCUGCGGUCGGAUCACCUCCUUAGAUAAGGAAAGUGUUCGGAUGCACUAAUCUUCACAUCAAAUCAUCGAUGCAAUGCAUCACGAAAGUGAUGUAUGAAGGAUGUAGCGGGUCCCUGCCAGGGGACUUGCAAUGAUCGUCGUGCAUAGUCGUGUAAUAUGUGGCUGAAUUUGCCGGUGUAAAGACGGUAAUAGGUGGAUUGCUAGGCUUGAGGAGAGAUGAAGGACGUGGCAAGCUGCGAUAAGCUCGGGGUAGGCGCACGCAUCCUAUGAUCCCGAGAUGUCCGAAUGAGAAUCUUGCACUUUUGUGCAUUCCAGUACACUAGUAUUGGAAGUCGAACCGUGGGAAUUGAAGCAUCUUAGUACCACGUGGAAAAGAAAUCAAUUGAGAUUUCCCAAGUAGAGGCGAUCGAAAAGGAAAUAGCCCAAACUGAAUCCUUCGGGAGAUGUGGUGUUUUGGUAUGAUAAUAUGGAAUCUUGAAACACAGCUGAAAUGUUCUGAAAAGUACUGACAUAGAGGGUGAUAUCCCCGUAAGCGAAAUGGGAAGAGUCCUAUUCAUACCCGAGUAGUUGUCCUUGGUAGUGGGCAAUGAAUACAGGUGAAAGUGGCAUCUGAGGCUAAAUAUCUCUCAAGACCGAUAGUGGACUAGUACCGUGAGGGAAAGCUGAAAGUACCCCGGAAGGGGGGCGAAAAGUGCAUGAAACCUAUUACUUACAGACGUGCAUGGCAUGGAAGGUGAUUUUUUCAUUUUGGAGAUUCUAGCAAUAGAGUUGAAGAUUUGAUGUUCAAGUCAUCAGUGUCAUGCGUUCCGUCUCGAAACACGGACCAAGGAGUCUAA
RNAcentral lists this small RNA (863 nucleotides) under uncultured Candidatus Nitrosopumilus sp. Its description in RNAcentral is "bacterial LSU rRNA". The stretch from base 196 to 863 matches the Rfam family "Archaeal large subunit ribosomal RNA", at positions 1 to 676 of the family's 2987-position model. The record is from RNAcentral. Lineage: Archaea; Thermoproteati; Nitrososphaerota; Nitrososphaeria; Nitrosopumilales; Nitrosopumilaceae.